Sander lucioperca (pikeperch) is the source of this 2846-nucleotide long non-coding RNA. RefSeq lists it as uncharacterized. The transcript is spliced from 3 exons. Lineage: Eukaryota; Metazoa; Chordata; Actinopteri; Perciformes; Percidae. The record is from RefSeq and is a predicted model, not a curated record.
UAUCAAUCCUCAUCUAACUCUCAGCCAGAAAGCCAAUAAGCAUAUUUCCCAAAAUGUCAAACUAUUUCUGUAAGCAUGCCAACAAUUAAGCAUACACUGUGUUAUGUGACAGCUGCAACAUUAACGCUAAAAGUGAGAACAUGAGAAGUUGUAGCAAGACCCAAUACCUCCUGAAUGGCUGCCAAUGUGCAACUAAAAGAUUACUGUGCCAAAAUGAAAAUGUGCAUUGGAAGAAUUAAUUUCCUGUCUGAAAUAUACUUCAAAACAAAACUAGCUACAUCGGUUAUGCUGUUUUGUAAACAUUACAAAUCUACAGGCCAUAUACUUAAAAAAAAUAUUUUUAUUGGUAAGAGGCCUGUCUGUUGUAGUCCCUUUCUCUCACUCAACACCUUGUAUGCUUAGGUGUUAGCAUGAAGCUAGAGCUGAAGAUCUACUGAGGACAGAUGGAUGAUUUUAAUGCUACAGUUCUUAUUGCUAAACAUGUACACUAGUCAAUGUGCCAAUCUCUUUCCAUCUCCAAAAUUGUAAAGUCAAACAGAAGAAUCCAAAACACAGUGGCACCAUCAUCUUAUAGAUAAACGCCCAUGUUAGUGGAAUAAGUGUUAACUGUCUGCUGUAUGGUUAUAUCAUAAAUAUCAGCGAAUACAGGAAGGAACAUAAGGCAGUACAUGCUGUUCACACUGUUUUUCUACAUGUGUAUGCUGUUUAGGGUUCCAGUAGUUCAUCUCCAUCAUUUUCUGCUAUCCUGUGGGUUAGAUUUUCUUUAGUUAUUCUGUUGGUUUACCUUGCUAGGCAAUGACAAAAAUGAGAAAUCGUCUCCAAAUUUUCAACUGAAAGAGCGAAUGCAUUUUGCAGUUAUUUUUGUCUAUGUCUAAUACUACAUUUUCCUGUGUGUGAUUUCUAAAUCAUGUUGAUCCCACACUAACAGGGUGCUGCCACUGAAGCUGAUAUAAAACAGUUUUGGACUUUAAUCGUCACAACCCUCUCAAUGACUUGUCUCCUCCUGUAACGAGUCCAAUACCAACUCCUCCAAAUCCACCCACGGCUGAGCUAUGAGCUCAGUAUUUAUUUUUUUGGUUUGUUUAUCCCUUUAAUCCAAGCUGUUACAUUGGCAGGCGACAACAAAUUAGGCGAGAUAUCAGUCAUCAGCCCGUCGACACGCCAUCAGGGGGCCACCUAACACCGUGUUGCGAGUGUUUGCAAGGUAGUGAAAGUGUUUUUGCUGUCCUACCUUUUCUCCCGUCCCACGUCAGCGGUACAGCAGGCGAAACCCAGCCAUUAGACAUUUCCGAUGGUGCGGUUACAAAAGAUGAACACAAACACACACAUGCUUCUUAUUAUAGCUGCUUUCCAAGAGCAUCGAGCAGGUGAACGAGAAAGAUAUUGCAUUUGUUAAAAAGGGGUACGUCAACAUUUUGGGGGGGCAAUUUUUGCCUCUCAUUUUUCCUUGCCAUUGAAACUAAGGUUGAAAGCAAGCUUGUUUUCAAUGAGUACAAUUGGCCAUCAAAUGAGCAGAUCCAUCAGUGCUUGAAAGCAAAUGGCAAGAAACAACAAAGCAACUUUGAUGGUCUGGCAGGGAAUGAAUGGAACUGGGCCAGUAUAUAAACUGAGAGGCUGAUGAGGUGUGGGAGUGGGAACAGGUGUGUAGAUGGCUGGGGCAGUCAGGUGAUGGGGAAAGGAGGGAAAGUCUAAAUCUGGUGAUGGAUGAAGAGGCCUAAGGAAUAGGGAAUGUGGCUGGAGAGGAGGGAGAGAGAUAUGUUGUUUUCUAUCAUUAUGAAUAUAUUGAAUCCUUAUUUUGGGAUUUUUAACUGUUAUAGACCAGUGGUUGUCUUUUUGGCUUGUGAUCCCCUAAAAGAGUACUCUCUACCAAUUUAGCUUUACACUCCUUUAACAUUGUUGGACUCACAAUAGACAGUUAAAAAACAAACAUCUAAAUCGAUGCAGCAGAAUCAGACAUAUUGUCUAUUUUGUUACACGUAUUGUAUGUAUGUCUGGUGAGCCAAAGAAAAAUUUCCACCUUGGUGGACAUUAAAGAUUUAUUCUAUUCUAUUCUAUUCUAUUCUUCUUCUCCCUAAGAUUUAUCUUGUGACCCUUACUGGCGUCUCUACCCCCUGGUUGGCAACCACUGUAAUAGACUAAAUAAUGAAUCCAUUGAUCUAAAAAAUGAUCAACUGAUUAAAUAAUCAUGAUAAUAAUUUUUAAAACAUUUUUCAGCCAAAUGUGGCAGGUGAAAAAGGAGACUACAACACCAAAAAUGUUGACGUAUCCCUUAAAGUUUGACCAACGUGAACAAAGAGUAAGCUUACAUUACUUUUCCGUGGUGCUAGCCGAUAAAAAAAAAAAAAGAGAACAUCUGUUACUUUGCUGCAAGCUAAAUUCAGAAGGUGCAAACGCGCAACAGAAGCAGCAGCAUCGGUGUUCAUAUGGUGCAACGCGCUCAAGUUACGGAGUCAAUUGGUUGCUAAUCCUACUUCAUAUGGUGCAAAUAUGAAACACACAUGUACUUAUGGUGCAAUAAGGGCAGAUUGUCUCUUUAAAUUCUAUGGUGCAUCUUGAGUACUGCCUUCAGUUGCCGGCCAAGGCUGUGCCAAAGGCUCCGUCCAAAUGGACAACUGCUCUUCCUGUCCUGCAAGAGCUAUGCAAGUCUCCAACGCAAGGAGAUGUGCUUAGUGUACAUGCUCACAACACGCAUACACACACACACACACACACACACACACACACACACACAUGGCAUCAGUAAAAACCUACUCCUAAAUGUUUCUUCUAUUUUCAAAAACUAGGUGAUCCAGUAAGUUACUGUCCUACCCGAUGCUAAUAAUAAACAUUAUAUUGCUUUAAUUUUA